GAUGAACGCUGGCGGCGUGCCUAAUACAUGCAAGUCGAGCGAACGGACGAGAAGCUUGCUUUUCUGAUGUUAGCGGCGGACGGGUGAGUAACACGUGGAUAACCUACCUAUAAGACUGGGAUAACUUCGGGAAACCGGAGCUAAUACCGGAUAAUAUUUUGAACCGCAUGGUUCAAAAGUGAAAGACGGUCUUGCUGUCACUUAUAGAUGGAUCCGCGCUGCAUUAGCUAGUUGGUAAGGUAACGGCUUACCAAGGCAACGAUGCAUAGCCGACCUGAGAGGGUGAUCGGCCACACUGGAACUGAGACACGGUCCAGAUUCCUACGGGAGGCAGCAUUAGGGAAUCUUCGGCAAUGGGCGAAAGCCUGACGGAGCAACGCCGCGUGAGGGAUGAAGUUCUUCGGAUCGUAAAACUCUGUUAUUAGGGAAGAACAGUUGUGUAAGUAACUGUGCACAUCUUGACGGUACCUAAUCAGAAAGCCACGGCUAACUACGUG
RNAcentral lists this ribosomal RNA (497 nucleotides) under uncultured bacterium. Its description in RNAcentral is "partial 16S ribosomal RNA". It matches the Rfam family "Bacterial small subunit ribosomal RNA", at positions 28 to 507 of the family's 1533-position model. The record is from RNAcentral.